GAUGAACGCUGGCGGCGUGCCUAAUACAUGCAAGUCGAGCGAACAGACGAGGAGCUUGCUCCUCUGAUGUUAGCGGCGGACGGGUGAGUAACACGUGGAUAACCUACCUAUAAGACUGGGAUAACUUCGGGAAACCGUAGCUAAUACCGGAUAACAUGUUGAACCGCAUGGUUCAACAGUGAAAGACGGUCUUGCUGUCACUUAUAGAUGGAUCCGCGCCGCAUUAGCUAGUUGGUAAGGUAACGGCUUACCAAGGCAACGAUGCGUAGCCGACCUGAGAGGGUGAUCGGCCACACUGGAACUGAGACACGGUCCAGACUCCUACGGGAGGCAGCAGUAGGGAAUCUUCCGCAAUGGGCGAAAGCCUGACGGAGCAACGCCGCGUGAGUGAUGAAGGUCUUCGGAUCGUAAAACUCUGUUAUUAGGGAAGAACAAAUGUGUAAGUAACUAUGCACGUCUUGACGGUACCUAAUCAGAAAGCCACGGCUAACUACGUG
This 497-nucleotide ribosomal RNA is filed under the name uncultured bacterium. Its description in RNAcentral is "partial 16S ribosomal RNA". It matches the Rfam family "Bacterial small subunit ribosomal RNA", at positions 28 to 507 of the family's 1533-position model. The record is from RNAcentral.